RNAcentral lists this long non-coding RNA (741 nucleotides) under Salvia miltiorrhiza (redroot sage). Its description in RNAcentral is "long non-coding RNA (SMIL_LNC010208)". Lineage: Eukaryota; Viridiplantae; Streptophyta; Magnoliopsida; Lamiales; Lamiaceae. The record is from RNAcentral.
GUAUGCCAACACCUCAACAUGCACAAACUCAGAACUUUUGAGGAAGAAUAAAAUGGAAUAGCAGUAACAAUUAUAAAACGGAGAAGACGCCAUGGCAGAAACAAUCAUCCCAGCAACAAGGUUACGCAAGCCAGGGUACUCAUAAACAGGUAGGGGAUAACCAGCAGAGGAUCCUGCCCCGCCCAAAAUAAAAACCAUGGGAGACUCUGCAAAACUAGUAAUGAUGGUUGUUGUUGCACAGGAGCUGGAAGGGGCAUUAUGCAAACUGUUGCCCGAAGAAGCAACAAAGGACGGGUCUCACGCUAAACUCGCCUAUUUAGGCUUCGCAUUUGCAAGCAAUCCAAGCUUUGCCCCAACUACACCAAGAGUAGUAGCCACACCACCAACAACAAUAGCACAUAUGUGCUUGAAUUUAGAGCUGAACAUAAAAUCACUCAAAGUCGUAGUGAACAACUCUUAUGUUAUACCAAUGAGAGACGUUGACUUAGGAAGGGAUUGACUAGCUGUGAACCAAACCAACAUCCUUUGCAAAACAAGACAAAUUUCUUUUCGACCCUUGUAAAAAAAAAAAAAAAAAAAAAAAAAAACUGACACGUUUCCAUGGAAUCAACAUGGACAAGAGGGAGACAAUCAUCUCCACCCUUAAAGCAAUGAGGAUGAUGAGGAAAGAAUAUCCAGACUACCUUGUGUAUUUGCACGGAGAACUAGGAAUCGAGAAAAGCAUAAGAGAUAUGACAAUCA